AGCAGCCGCGGUAAUUCCAGCUCCAGUAGCGUAUAUUAAAGUUGCUGCAGUUAAAAAGCUCGUAGUUGAAUUUCGGGACCAAUAUGUCGGUCGUGCCUCGGUACGUACUGGCAUUAUUGGUUCCUACCUUCUGAAGAACCUCGAUGUCAUUAAUUUGGUGUCUUGGGGAAUCAGGACUGUUACUUUGAAAAAAUUAGAGUGUUUAAAGCAGGCUCGCGCUUGAAUACAUUAGCAUGGAAUAAUGAAAUAGGACGUUUGAUUCUAUUUUGUUGGUUUCUAGGAUCGACGUAAUGAUUAAUAGGGAUAGUUGGGGGCAUUAGUAUUCAAUUGUCAGAGGUGAAAUUCUUGGAUUUAUUGAAGACUAACUACUGCGAAAGCAUUUGCCAAGGAUGUUUUCAUUAAUCAAGAACGAAAGUUAGGGGAUCGAAGACGAUCAGAUACCGUCGUAGU
Molecule: ribosomal RNA, 450 nt
Filed under: uncultured Glomeromycotina
Lineage: Eukaryota; Fungi; Glomeromycota
Description: SSU rRNA
Rfam family: Eukaryotic small subunit ribosomal RNA
Source: RNAcentral